UCUCUGCGCUGGGUCCCCAGGCUCCGUCACCCAGCAGCGAGUCGGGGCACACGGCCGCCCCGUCGACCUGGAAGUGAAUCCGCCUCAGCCGGCUAGGGGCGGCCGGGCCCGGUUCCCGCCCCCCUUAAAGGGGCCGCGUUAGCCGUCGGGGCGCAGCCGGCCCGCUGGGGGCCUUUGGAAAAUCAGGGCCAUUAAACAAAAAUCUCCUCACGCUGGCCAAGACAGCUUAAUAAACAGGAGCGUCGUGCCGGGUACCGAGCUCCUUCUUCUGUCCCUCUUACAAUUGUUCCUGUUUCCCCGGGGGAGGAGCUUGAGUGUCCUUACUGACUUUAUUUUAUUAACUGCUAUUGAAGCCCUGGUGGUAUUGAGUGGGGUGUAGAAGCUAUGAGGUGACCCUGUGCACGGGUAUAACUCGCACACUAAUCCCCCCACAACCACACCUGUCCAUGGAAUGGGGAUGACCAGGGCCAGGACAACAUUGAGACACAGAAGUUGUCUGGCCUGCCCAGGAUCAUAUGGUGAAGCCAGGAAUAGAACCAAGAAUUUUGACUCCCAAUUUCCUGAUAAAAGUCAUGGUAUUCUAUAGAUCAAGAGCUC
Molecule: long non-coding RNA, 597 nt
Organism: Dermochelys coriacea (leatherback sea turtle)
Lineage: Eukaryota; Metazoa; Chordata; Testudines; Dermochelyidae
Exons: 3
Source: RefSeq, a predicted model, not a curated record